GGAGCGCAAUGGAUAGCGCGUUGGACUUCUCAUCCAAAGGUCGUGAGCUCGAAUCCCGCAUUA
Molecule: transfer RNA, 63 nt
Filed under: Trichonephila clavata
Lineage: Eukaryota; Metazoa; Arthropoda; Arachnida; Araneae; Nephilidae
Description: tRNA-Arg
Rfam family: tRNA
About the family: Transfer RNA (tRNA) molecules are approximately 80 nucleotides in length. Their secondary structure includes four short double-helical elements and three loops (D, anti-codon, and T loops).
Source: RNAcentral